Molecule: ribosomal RNA, 393 nt
Filed under: uncultured bacterium
Lineage: Bacteria
Description: partial 16S ribosomal RNA
Rfam family: Bacterial small subunit ribosomal RNA
Source: RNAcentral
AUACGGAGGAUCCGAGCGUUAUCCGGAUUUAUUGGGUUUAAAGGGUGCGCAGGCGGGAGAUUAAGUCGGCGGUGAAAAUUUGCCGCUCAAAUGUAAAAGGGCCUUCGAAACUGGGUUCCUUGAGUGUAGAUGAAGUAGGGGGAAUUUUUGGUGGAGCGGUGAAAUGCAUAGAUAUCACGAGGAACUCCGAUUGCGCAGGCAGCUUACUAAACUACUACUGACGCUCAGGCACGAAGGCGUGGGGAUCAAACAGGAUUAGAUACCCUGGUAGUCCACGCAGUAAACGAUGAUUACUAGCUGUUUGCGAUACAAUGUAAGCGGCUGAGCGAAAGCGUUAAGUAAUCCACCUGGGGAGUACGUUCGCAAGAAUGAAACUCAAAGGAAUUGACGGGG